AGUGUGACUUUUUCAGAAGGUGAGUUACGCGUUCCGGGCAGUCAGUGCACUGCUCAGCAGGAGGAGGUCCUGCAGGGGGACUGCACAGACACAGGCUGGCAGCAGGUGGUGGCUCAGCAGGAGGAGGUCCUGCAGGUGGUGCUGCAAGGGGUCGGCUGGCCGCAGGGGGGCCGGCAGCAGGGGGACUGCACAGACACAGGCUGGCAGCAGGUGGUGGCUCAGCAGGAGGAGGUCCUGCAGGUGGUGCUGCAAGGGGUCGGCUGGCCGCAGGGGGACUGCACAG
This 283-nucleotide long non-coding RNA is filed under the name Homo sapiens (human). RNAcentral describes it as "HSALNT0389738". Lineage: Eukaryota; Metazoa; Chordata; Mammalia; Primates; Hominidae. The record is from RNAcentral.